GUCCACGCAGUAAACGAUGAAUGCCGGCUGUCCGGCCCGACUGGGGGCUGGGUGGCGAAGCGAAAGCGAUAAGCAUUCCACCUGGGGAGUACGCCGGCAACGGUGAAACUCAAAGGAAUUGACGGGGGCCCCGCACAAGCGGAGGAACAUGUGGUUUAAUUCGAUGAUACGCGAGGAACCUUACCCGGGCUCAAACGGCGGACGACGGGAUCAGAGACGGUCCUUUCCACGGACGUCCGCCGAGGUGCUGCAUGGUUGUCGU
Molecule: ribosomal RNA, 262 nt
Filed under: uncultured bacterium
Lineage: Bacteria
Description: partial 16S ribosomal RNA
Rfam family: Bacterial small subunit ribosomal RNA
Source: RNAcentral